UGUGGGAGCUGGCUUGCCUGCGAUGCAGAUACCUCGGUUUAUCCGUCAUACCGAGGUGUCUGCAUCGCAGGCAAGCCAGCUCCCACA
Molecule: unclassified non-coding RNA, 87 nt
Filed under: Pseudomonas simiae
Lineage: Bacteria; Pseudomonadati; Pseudomonadota; Gammaproteobacteria; Pseudomonadales; Pseudomonadaceae
Source: RNAcentral